GUGGGGAAUCUUGCGCAAUGGGCGAAAGCCUGACGCAGCCAUGCCGCGUGAAUGAUGAAGGUCUUAGGAUUGUAAAAUUCUUUCACCGGGGACGAUAAUGACGGUACCCGGAGAAGAAGCUCCGGCUAACUUCGUGCCAGCAGCCGCGGUAAUACGAAGGGGGCUAGCGUUGCUCGGAAUUACUGGGCGUAAAGGGCGCGUAGGUGGACAGCUUAGUCAGAGGUGAAAGCCCAGGGCUCAACCUUGGAAUUGCCUUUGAUACUGGCUGUCUUGAGUUUGGGAGAGGUGAGUGGAACUCCGAGUGUAGAGGUGAAAUUCGUAGAUAUUCGGAAGAACACCAGGGGCGAAGGCGACUCACUGGCCCAAUACUGACGCUGAGGCGCGAAAGCGUGGGGAGCAAACAAGAUUAGAUACCCCAGUAGUCC
Molecule: ribosomal RNA, 425 nt
Filed under: uncultured bacterium
Lineage: Bacteria
Description: partial 16S ribosomal RNA
Rfam family: Bacterial small subunit ribosomal RNA
Source: RNAcentral